RNAcentral lists this long non-coding RNA (296 nucleotides) under Triticum aestivum (bread wheat). Its description in RNAcentral is "long non-coding RNA (TAES_LNC024155)". The record is from RNAcentral. Lineage: Eukaryota; Viridiplantae; Streptophyta; Magnoliopsida; Poales; Poaceae.
AAUGCUGCCGAGGAGAAGCUGGGUUCUCAGUUGGACAUCCUGGCACCAAUCAAAUACUAGUGUGCCGCGCAGUCAUGCAUCAUCUGUUUUGCUGGAUAAUGGUGGUUAUUGUUUACGUUAGUAGCCUGAGAGUGUCGUUGAGAUUUGAAACCUCUGAGUAUCUAUACUAUUCCAAUCUUUGUAGCAAAUGGAUUGUUUGGUAUUGUUGUUUUCGCCCCAUGAGAUUUCAAAGAUGUUGCUGUUUUCUCCAUCAUGUUUUUGUUGUCGUCAGGAACUUAGGACGGCUCUCGCACAAG